GGGAGUGAAAUAGAACCUGAAACCCUGCACUUACAAGCUGUGGAAGCACAUUUCUUGUGUGACCGCGUACUUUUUGUAGAACGUGCCAACGCGUUACGUGAAUGAUCAAGGUUAAUCACUUAAGUUGCGGAGCCGUAGCGAAAGCGAGUUUUAACUGAGCGUUCAGUUACUUGACGGAGACCCGAAACCGGCCGACCUACCCAUGAGCAGGAUGAAGCGAAAGUAAAAUUUCGUGGAGGUCCGAACCCACGGGCGUUGAAAAGCUCGGGGAUGACUUGUGGGUAGCGGUGAAAUUCCAAUCGAGCCCGGAGAUAGCUGGUUCUCCCCGAAAUAGCUUUAGGGCUAGCCUCAAGGUGAGAGAUACGGAGGUAGAGCACUGAAUGUCCUAGGGGGUAUUGCACCUACCGAAGACUAUCAAACUCCGAAUGCCGUCAUCUUAUACUUGGGAGUCAGACUGUGGGUGAUAAGAUUCAUAGUCGAAAGGGCAACAGCCCAGAUCGUCAGCUAAGGUCCCUAAAUGUAAGUUAAGUGGUAAAGGAUGUGGGAUUGCACAGACAACCAGGAUGUUGGCUUAGAAGCAGCCACUCAUUCAAAGAGUGCGUAAUAGCUCACUGGUCGAGUGAUCCUGCGCCGAAGAUUUCCGGGGCUAAAACUUACUACCGAAGCUACGGCAUCAGUAAUGAUGGGUAGGGGAGCUUCCCAUACGGGUUGAAGCAUGACCGUAAGGACAUG
RNAcentral lists this ribosomal RNA (732 nucleotides) under Clostridioides difficile. Its description in RNAcentral is "bacterial LSU rRNA". It matches the Rfam family "Bacterial large subunit ribosomal RNA", at positions 534 to 1273 of the family's 2925-position model. The record is from RNAcentral. Lineage: Bacteria; Bacillati; Bacillota; Clostridia; Peptostreptococcales; Peptostreptococcaceae.